RNAcentral lists this ribosomal RNA (428 nucleotides) under Mycobacterium sp. Its description in RNAcentral is "bacterial SSU rRNA". It matches the Rfam family "Bacterial small subunit ribosomal RNA", at positions 332 to 771 of the family's 1533-position model. The record is from RNAcentral. Lineage: Bacteria; Bacillati; Actinomycetota; Actinomycetes; Mycobacteriales; Mycobacteriaceae.
CAGACUCCUACGGGAGGCAGCAGUGGGGAAUAUUGCACAAUGGGCGCAAGCCUGAUGCAGCGACGCCGCGGUGAGGGAUGACGGCCUUCGGGUUGUAAACCUCUUUCAAUAGGGACGAAGCGCAAGUGACGGUACCUAUAGAAGAAGCACCGGCCAACUACGUGCCAGCAGCCGCGGUAAUACGUAGGGUGCGAGCGUUGUCCGGAAUUAUUGGGCGUAAAGAGCUCGUAGGUGGUUUGUCGCGUUGUUCGUGAAAACUCACAGCUUAACUGUGGGCGUGCGGGGGAUACGGGCAGACUAGAGUACUGCAGGGGAGACUGGAAUUCCUGGUGUAGCGGUGGAAUGCGCAGAUAUCAGGAGGAACACCGGUGGCGAAGGCGGGUCUCUGGGCAGUAACUGACGCUGAGGAGCGAAAGCGUGGGGAGCGA